GUGAAUCAUCAAAUUUUUGAACGCAAAUUGCACUCUCCGGUUUUCCGGGUGAGUAUGCCUGUUUGAGGGUCUGUUUAAAAAAUAAUCGAGGCUGCUUCUGUGGUGACGCUUCGGAAUUGGGUCAUCUUCCACCUUUCGGGGUUGUAAGAGACUGAAAAUUGUUCUUACUAUUUCUACGAUCGUGUGUAAGAAUUUGUCUUGUACGUUCGCUACAUCGAAAUCAUAGUAGGCGCGCAC
RNAcentral lists this unclassified non-coding RNA (237 nucleotides) under Glomus sp. RNAcentral's name for it is "partial contains 5.8S ribosomal RNA and internal transcribed spacer 2". The stretch from base 1 to 72 matches the Rfam family "5.8S ribosomal RNA", at positions 84 to 154 of the family's 154-position model. The record is from RNAcentral. Lineage: Eukaryota; Fungi; Glomeromycota; Glomeromycetes; Glomerales; Glomeraceae.